RNAcentral lists this small RNA (126 nucleotides) under Marmota monax (woodchuck). Lineage: Eukaryota; Metazoa; Chordata; Mammalia; Rodentia; Sciuridae. The record is from RNAcentral.
GCCAGGCAUGGUGGUGCAUGCCUGUAAUUCCAGUGUCUCAGGAGGCUGAGGCAGAAGAAUCACAGUUUGAGGCCAGCCUCAGCAACUUAGGGAGGCCCUAAGCAACUUGGUAAAAUCCUGUCUCAA